CUGAGCCAAUUAAGCUGUGCGCUUUCUCCCUGGGGACCCGGUGUGCAAUGGCUGCAAAUAGCAGCCAUCUUUGCAGUGUCCAUUAGACAGCCCAAACAAACCUUGGAGACCGUC
This 114-nucleotide small nucleolar RNA is filed under the name Sorex araneus (European shrew). RNAcentral's name for it is "Small nucleolar RNA SNORA70 (ENSSARG00000020068.1)". It matches the Rfam family "Small nucleolar RNA SNORA70". Rfam says of the family: snoRNA U70 seems to be exclusive to mammals and is a member of the H/ACA class of snoRNA which contain H (ANANNA) and ACA box motifs. H/ACA box snoRNAs are involved in the conversion of uridines to pseudouridines (5-ribosyluracil) a constituent of structural RNAs (transfer, ribosomal, small nuclear, and small nucleolar). Lineage: Eukaryota; Metazoa; Chordata; Mammalia; Eulipotyphla; Soricidae. The record is from RNAcentral.